CGGGGUGUAGCUUAGCCUGGUAGAGCGCUACGUUCG
This 36-nucleotide small RNA is filed under the name Bombyx mori (domestic silkworm). Its description in RNAcentral is "ovarian small RNA-14512". Lineage: Eukaryota; Metazoa; Arthropoda; Insecta; Lepidoptera; Bombycidae. The record is from RNAcentral.